GGUUAAGCGACUAAGCGUACACGGUGGAUGCCCUGGCAGUCAGAGGCGAUGAAGGACGUGCUAAUCUGCGAAAAGCGUCGGUAAGGUGAUAUGAACCGUUAUAACCGGCGAUGUCCGAAUGGGGAAACCCAGUGCAAUUCGUUGCACUAUCGUUAACUGAAUACAUAGGUUAACGAGGCGAACCGGGGGAACUGAAACAUCUAAGUACCCCGAGGAAAAGAAAUCAACCGAGAUUCCCCCAGUAGCGGCGAGCGAACGGGGAGCAGCCCAGAGUCUGAAUCAGCUUGUGUGUUAGUGGAACGGUCUGGAAAGUCCGACGGUACAGGGUGAUAGUCCCGUACACCAAAAUGCACAGGUUGUGAACUCGAAGAGUAGGGCGGGACACGUGGUAUCCUGUCUGAAUAUGGGGGGACCAUCCUCCAAGGCUAAAUACUCCUGACUGACCGAUAGUGAACCAGUACCGUGAGGGAAAGGCGAAAAGAACCCCGGCGAGGGGAGUGAAAAAGAACCUGAAACCGUGUACGUACAAGCAGUGGGAGCACCUUUAUGGUGUGACUGCGUACCUUUUGUAUAAUGGGUCAGCGACUUAUAUUCUGUAGCAAGGUUAACCGUAUAGGGGAGCCGCAGGGAAACCGAGUCUUAACUGGGCGUUAAGUUGCAGGGUAUAGACCCGAAACCCGGUGAUCUAGCCAUGGGCAGGUUGAAGGUUGGGUAACACUAACUGGAGGACCGAACCGACUAAUGUUGAAAAAUUAGCGGAUGACUUGUGGCUGGGGGUGAAAGGCCAAUCAAACCGGGAGAUAGCUGGUUCUCCCCGAAAGCUAUUUAGGUAGCGCCUCGUGAACUCAUCUUCGGGGGUAGAGCACUGUUUCGGCUAGGGGGUCAUCCCGACUUACCAACCCGAUGCAAACUACGAAUACCGAAGAAUGUUAUCACGGGAGACACACGGCGGGUGCUAACGUCCGUCGUGAAGAGGGAAACAACCCAGACCGCCAGCUAAGGUCCCAAAGUCAUGGUUAAGUGGGAAACGAUGUGGGAAGGCACAGACAGCCAGGAUGUUGGCUUAGAAGCAGCCAUCAUUUAAAGAAAGCGUAAUAGCUCACUGGUCGAGUCGGCCUGCGCGGAAGAUGUAACGGGGCUAAACCAUGCACCGAAGCUGCGGCAGCGAC
This 1169-nucleotide ribosomal RNA is filed under the name Klebsiella quasipneumoniae. Its description in RNAcentral is "partial 23S ribosomal RNA". It matches the Rfam family "Bacterial large subunit ribosomal RNA", at positions 1 to 1212 of the family's 2925-position model. The record is from RNAcentral. Lineage: Bacteria; Pseudomonadati; Pseudomonadota; Gammaproteobacteria; Enterobacterales; Enterobacteriaceae.